UACAGAGGUCCCAAGCGUUGUUCGGAUUCAUUGGGCGUAAAGGGUGCGUAGGCGGCGCGGUAAGUCGGGUGUGAAAUCUCGGAGCUUAACUCCGAAACUGCAUUCGAUACUGCCGUGCUUGAGGACUGGAGAGGAGACUGGAAUUUACGGUGUAGCGGUGAAAUGCGUAGAUAUCUGGAGGAACACCGGUGGCGAAGGCGGCAUCCUGGACCAACACUGACGCUGAGUGAGCGAAAGCCAGGGGAGCAAACGGG
Molecule: ribosomal RNA, 254 nt
Filed under: uncultured bacterium
Lineage: Bacteria
Description: partial 16S ribosomal RNA
Rfam family: Bacterial small subunit ribosomal RNA
Source: RNAcentral